CCACGCCGUAAACGAUGAGUGCUAGGUGUCGGGCGUCAAAACUCGGUGCCACAGUUAACGCAAUAAGCACUCCGCCUGGGGAGUACGUGCGCAAGCAUGAAACUCAAAGGAAUUGACGGGGACCCGCACAAGCAGCGGAGCAUGUGGUUUAAUUCGAAGCAACGCGAAAAACCUUACCAGGACUUGACAUACUAGUGCCUUGUGUAGAGAUACACAAUUUUCUUCGGAAACACUAAUACAGGUGGUGCAUGGUUGU
This 256-nucleotide ribosomal RNA is filed under the name uncultured bacterium. RNAcentral describes it as "partial 16S ribosomal RNA". It matches the Rfam family "Bacterial small subunit ribosomal RNA", at positions 795 to 1052 of the family's 1533-position model. The record is from RNAcentral.